UUAAGCGACUAAGCGUACACGGUGGAUGCCCUGGCAGUCAGAGGCGAUGAAGGACGUGCUAAUCUGCGAAAAGCGCCGGCGAGGUGAUAUGAACCCUUGACCCGGCGAUGUCCGAAUGGGGAAACCCAGUGCAAUCCGUUGCACUAUCGUUAACUGAAUACAUAGGUUAACGAGGCGAACCGGGGGAACUGAAACAUCUAAGUACCCCGAGGAAAAGAAAUCAACCGAGAUUCCCCCAGUAGCGGCGAGCGAACGGGGAGCAGCCCGGAGUCUGAAUCAGCUUGUGUGUUAGUGGAACGGUCUGGAAAGUCCGACGGUACAGGGUGAUAGUCCCGUACACGAAAGCACACUUGCUGUGAACUCGAAGAGUAGGGCGGGACACGUGGUAUCCUGUCUGAAUAUGGGGGGACCAUCCUCCAAGGCUAAAUACUCCUGACUGACCGAUAGUGAACCAGUACCGUGAGGGAAAGGCGAAAAGAACCCCGGCGAGGGGAGUGAAAAAGAACCUGAAACCGUGUACGUACAAGCAGUGGGAGCCUCUUUAUGGGGUGACUGCGUACCUUUUGUAUAAUGGGUCAGCGACUUAUAUUCUGUAGCAAGGUUAACCGUAUAGGGGAGCCGAAGGGAAACCGAGUCUUAACUGGGCGUUAAGUUGCAGGGUAUAGACCCGAAACCCGGUGAUCUAGCCAUGGGCAGGUUGAAGGUUGGGUAACACUAACUGGAGGACCGAACCGACUAAUGUUGAAAAAUUAGCGGAUGACCUGUGGCUGGGGGUGAAAGGCCAAUCAAACCGGGAGAUAGCUGGUUCUCCCCGAAAGCUAUUUAGGUAGCGCCUCGUGAACUCAUCUUCGGGGGUAGAGCACUGUUUCGGCUAGGGGGCCAUCCCGGCUUACCAACCCGAUGCAAACUACGAAUACCGAAGAAUGUUAUCACGGGAGACACACGGCGGGUGCUAACGUCCGUCGUGAAGAGGGAAACAACCCAGACCGCCAGCUAAGGUCCCAAAGUCAUGGUUAAGUGGGAAACGAUGUGGGAAGGCCCAGACAGCCAGGAUGUUGGCUUAGAAGCAGCCAUCAUUUAAAGAAAGCGUAAUAGCUCACUGGUCGAGUCGGCCUGCGCGGAAGAUGUAACGGGGCUAAACCAUGCACCGAAGCUGCGGCAGCGACACUAUGUGUUGUUGGGUAGGGGAGCGUUCUGUAAGCCGUUGAAGGUGUGCUGUGAGGCAUGCUGGAGGUAUCAGAAGUGCGAAUGCUGACAUAAGUAACGAUAAAGCGGGUGAAAAGCCCGCUCGCCGGAAGACCAAGGGUUCCUGUCCAACGUUAAUCGGGGCAGGGUGAGUCGACCCCUAAGGCGAGGCCGAAAGGCGUAGUCGAUGGGAAACAGGUUAAUAUUCCUGUACUUGGUGUUACUGCGAAGGGGGGACGGAGAAGGCUAUGUCAGCCGGGCGACGGUUGUCCCGGUUUAAGCAUGUAGGCGGAGGUUCCAGGUAAAUCCGGUACCUUUUAACGCUGAGGUGUGAUGACGAGGCACUACGGUGCUGAAGUGAUAAAUGCCCUGCUUCCAGGAAAAGCCUCUAAGCAUCAGGUAACACGAAAUCGUACCCCAAACCGACACAGGUGGUCAGGUAGAGAAUACCAAGGCGCUUGAGAGAACUCGGGUGAAGGAACUAGGCAAAAUGGUGCCGUAACUUCGGGAGAAGGCACGCUGAUGUGUAGGUGAAGCCCCUGCGGGCGGAGCUGAAAUCAGUCGAAGAUACCAGCUGGCUGCAACUGUUUAUUAAAAACACAGCACUGUGCAAACACGAAAGUGGACGUAUACGGUGUGACGCCUGCCCGGUGCCGGAAGGUUAAUUGAUGGGGUUAGCUGUAAGGCGAAGCUCUUGAUCGAAGCCCCGGUAAACGGCGGCCGUAACUAUAACGGUCCUAAGGUAGCGAAAUUCCUUGUCGGGU
This 1949-nucleotide ribosomal RNA is filed under the name human gut metagenome. RNAcentral describes it as "bacterial LSU rRNA". It matches the Rfam family "Bacterial large subunit ribosomal RNA", at positions 1 to 1977 of the family's 2925-position model. The record is from RNAcentral.